Molecule: ribosomal RNA, 465 nt
Filed under: uncultured bacterium
Lineage: Bacteria
Description: partial 16S ribosomal RNA
Rfam family: Bacterial small subunit ribosomal RNA
Source: RNAcentral
GACGAACGCUGGCGGCGUGCUUAACACAUGCAAGUCGAACGGAAAGGCCCUGCUUGCAGGGUACUCGAGUGGCGAACGGGUGAGUAACACGUGGGUGAUCUGCCCUGCACUUCGGGAUAAGCCUGGGAAACUGGGUCUAAUACCGGAUAGGAGCCAUUUUUAGUGUGAUGGUUGGAAAGUUUUUUCGGUGUAGGAUGAGCUCGCGGCCUAUCAGCUUGUUGGUGGGGUAAUGGCCUACCAAGGCGGCGACGGGUAGCCGGCCUGAGAGGGUGGACGGCCACAUUGGGACUGAGAUACGGCACAGACUCCUACGGGAGGCAGCAGGGGGGAAUAUUGCACAAUGGGCGCAAGCCGGAUGCAGCGACGCCGCGUGGGGGAUGACGGCCUUCGUGUUGUAAACUCCUUUCGAUAGGGACGAAGCUUUUUGUGACGUUACCUAGAUAAGAAGCACCGGCUAACUACGUG